GCGGACGUAAUUCAGUGGUAGAAUGUUAGCUUCCCAAGCUAAACAUAGUGGGUUCGAGUCCCAUCGUCCGCU
RNAcentral lists this transfer RNA (72 nucleotides) under Limnospira maxima. RNAcentral's name for it is "tRNA-Gly". It matches the Rfam family "tRNA". Rfam says of the family: Transfer RNA (tRNA) molecules are approximately 80 nucleotides in length. Their secondary structure includes four short double-helical elements and three loops (D, anti-codon, and T loops). Lineage: Bacteria; Bacillati; Cyanobacteriota; Cyanophyceae; Oscillatoriales; Sirenicapillariaceae. The record is from RNAcentral. RNAcentral also lists the same sequence under 17 other names.